UACGGAGGCCCCAAGCGUUGUUCGGAUUUAUUGGGCGUAAAGGGUGCGUAGGCGGCAUUGUAAGUCUGGUGUGAAAGGCGUGGGCUCAACCCGCGGACUGCAUUGGAUACUGCGAUGCUAGAGGACUGGAGAGGAGAAUGGAAUUCACGGUGGAGCAGUGAAAUGCGUAGAUAUCGUGAGGAAGGCCAGUGGCGAAGGCGAUUCUCUGGACAGUACCUGACGCUGAGGCACGAAGGCUGGGGGAGCGAACAGG
This 253-nucleotide ribosomal RNA is filed under the name uncultured bacterium. RNAcentral describes it as "partial 16S ribosomal RNA". It matches the Rfam family "Bacterial small subunit ribosomal RNA", at positions 524 to 776 of the family's 1533-position model. The record is from RNAcentral.